RNAcentral lists this ribosomal RNA (365 nucleotides) under uncultured fungus. Its description in RNAcentral is "eukaryotic LSU rRNA". It matches the Rfam family "Eukaryotic large subunit ribosomal RNA", at positions 40 to 398 of the family's 3401-position model. Lineage: Eukaryota; Fungi. The record is from RNAcentral.
AUAUCAAUAAGCGGAGGAAAAGAAACUAACAAGGAUUCCCCUAGUAACGGCGAGUGAAGCGGGAUGAGCUCAAAUUUAAAAUCUGGCUGGUUUACUAGUCCGAGUUGUAGUUUAAAGAAGCGUUUUCGGUGGCAGCCUGGGUAUAAAUCCUUUGGAACAGGGUAUCGUAGAGGGUGAGAAUCCCGUCUUUGACUCAGUGCUAUGCUACUAUGUGAUACGUUUUCAAAGAGUCGAGUUGUUUGGGAAUGCAGCUCAAAAUGGGUGGUAAAUUUCAUCUAAAGCUAAAUAUUGGCGAGAGACCGAUAGCGCACAAGUAGAGUGAUCGAAAGAUGAAAAGCACUUUGGAAAGAGAGUCUAAACAGUAC